This is a long non-coding RNA of Chrysemys picta bellii (western painted turtle), 221 nucleotides long. RefSeq lists it as uncharacterized. The record is from RefSeq and is a predicted model, not a curated record. NCBI's taxonomy places the organism in Eukaryota, Metazoa, Chordata, Testudines, Emydidae.
AAGAACGGGAACAUAUGAAUAGAAAAGAAAGCUGAAAUUGAAGAGCAGUGAAGAUGCGAGUACUCCUAUGGACUAUGCAGCAAGAAAUGCAGUAGCUGCUUUUGUGCCCUUCAGGGGUGCCGCUUCUACAUUUGCAGAGUGCCAGACCCUGAUGAAGAUGACUAGAGAGGACAUGUUCAGUGAGAUCCUGCAAGCCAAUGCUGCAUCAGACUGCAAAGGGC